AGGACUACUUCAUUUCACUAAGCGUGGUUGCAGCCGAUAAUUCACAGUUAUCUGAGACCUACAGGGCAUCAACAGCAACUCUUGAGUUUAUCCACACCACUUCUUUUCCUGAGCCACGAUGCCUUGUACCUCUACAGCCUGGAGCUCAGCCCACAGCAGUCCAAAACCCACUAAAACUGUGCUAAGAAACCUGUGGCAAUGAAAGAACUGCACUUUCCCUGCCUGCUCUGAGUGAUGACCACGGUAAAAGAGUUCGCUUGGAAUAAAAGCAAGAAGCCUUUGCAAUGUUAUCGAAAGCACUGUCAAUGGGAUGGGGCAGGAUGGCUCCCAAGGCUGUGACAGACACACAGACAGCUACAGCAUGUGCUGAAACCACCCGCAGGGCUCUGGGCAGAGCCAGGAGGACAGCGUGCCAGCACACAGCGAAUGCUGUGCUACGUGGAUCUGUGCUACACCCGAGCAAGAGAAGAGACGGCUCAUCUGCCAGACCACUGCUACACUGGUCAGAGAAGCCCUGGGCAAGGUUUCUGGCAAUGGUGAAUGCACCAAGGCACCAUUUUAUAACGACUGCACAUCAGCUGUUCCUACAGUCUUACACUUAAUCUUUGUCAAAAUGCAUUGUUAGUAUAGCUGAGCAUUGUUCAGAGGAAAAGAGCAAAUUAGAAUAUUUCACAAUCCGUGCCCUAAGGAGUGCAUCAAAAUGUUGCUAUGUGAGCUAUGCCACCAUUAAAG
Long non-coding RNA from Rhea pennata, 732 nucleotides. RefSeq lists it as uncharacterized. The record is from RefSeq and is a predicted model, not a curated record. The transcript has 4 exons. NCBI's taxonomy places the organism in Eukaryota, Metazoa, Chordata, Aves, Rheiformes, Rheidae.